RNAcentral lists this ribosomal RNA (400 nucleotides) under uncultured bacterium. RNAcentral describes it as "bacterial SSU rRNA". It matches the Rfam family "Bacterial small subunit ribosomal RNA", at positions 355 to 746 of the family's 1533-position model. The record is from RNAcentral.
UGGGGAAUCUUGCGCAAUGGACGAAAGUCUGACGCAGCCACGCCGCGUGAGUGAAGAAGGCCUUCGGGUUGUAAAGCUCUGUCGCCCGGGACGAAAACUAUUUAGGUUAAUAGCCUAAGUAACUGACGGUACCGGGAAAGGAAGCACCGGCUAACUCUGUGCCAGCAGCCGCGGUAAUACAGAGGGUGCAAGCGUUGCUCGGAAUUAUUGGGCGUAAAGGGUAGGUAGGUGGUCUCAUUUGUCUGGGGUGAAAUCCUUGAGCUUAACUCAAGAAGUGCCCCAGAAACGGUGAGACUAGAGUACUGGAGAGGGUCGUGGAAUUCCCGGUGUAGCGGUGAAAUGCGUAGAGAUCGGGAGGAACACCAGAGGCGAAGGCGGCGACCUGGACAGUAACUGACAC